Molecule: ribosomal RNA, 467 nt
Filed under: uncultured bacterium
Lineage: Bacteria
Description: partial 16S ribosomal RNA
Rfam family: Bacterial small subunit ribosomal RNA
Source: RNAcentral
GAUGAACGCUGGCGGCGUGCUUAACACAUGCAAGUCGAACGGUGAAGGCGGAGCUUGCUCUGCUGGAUCAGUGGCGAACGGGUGAGUAACACGUGAGCAAUCUGCCCCUGACUCUGGGAUAAGCGCUGGAAACGGCGUCUAAUACUGGAUACGAGCUGCGAAGGCAUCUUCAGCAGCUGGAAAGAAUUUCGGUCAGGGAUGAGCUCGCGGCCUAUCAGCUUGUUGGUGAGGUAAUGGCUCACCAAGGCGUCGACGGGUAGCCGGCCUGAGAGGGUGACCGGCCACACUGGGACUGAGACACGGCCCAGACUCCUACGGGAGGCAGCAGUGGGGAAUAUUGCACAAUGGGCGAAAGCCUGAUGCAGCAACGCCGCGUGGGGGACGACGGCCUUCGGGUUGUAACCUCUUUUAGCAGGGAAGAAGCGAAAGUGACGGUACCUGCAGAAAAAGCGCCGGCUAACUACGUG